RNAcentral lists this transfer RNA (76 nucleotides) under Verrucomicrobiota bacterium. Its description in RNAcentral is "Verrucomicrobia bacterium (freshwater metagenome) tRNA-Ile". It matches the Rfam family "tRNA". Rfam says of the family: Transfer RNA (tRNA) molecules are approximately 80 nucleotides in length. Their secondary structure includes four short double-helical elements and three loops (D, anti-codon, and T loops). Further hydrogen bonds mediate the characteristic L-shaped molecular structure. tRNAs have two regions of fundamental functional importance: the anti-codon, which is responsible for specific mRNA codon recognition, and the 3' end, to which the tRNAs corresponding amino acid is attached (by aminoacyl-tRNA synthetases). tRNAs cope with the degeneracy of the genetic code in two manners: having more than one tRNA (with a specific anti-codon) for a particular amino acid; and 'wobble' base-pairing, i.e. permitting non-standard base-pairing at the 3rd anti-codon position. Lineage: Bacteria; Pseudomonadati; Verrucomicrobiota. The record is from RNAcentral.
GGGCCCAUAGCUCAAUGGUCAGAGCAGGGGACUCAUAAUCCCUUGGUUGCAGGUUCGAAUCCUGCUGGGCCCACCA